Molecule: ribosomal RNA, 468 nt
Filed under: uncultured bacterium
Lineage: Bacteria
Description: partial 16S ribosomal RNA
Rfam family: Bacterial small subunit ribosomal RNA
Source: RNAcentral
GACGAACGCUGGCGGCGUGCUUAACACAUGCAAGUCGAACGGAAAGGCCCUGCUUUUGUGGGGUGCUCGAGUGGCGAACGGGUGAGUAACACGUGAGUAACCUGCCCUUGACUUUGGGAUAACUUCAGGAAACUGGGGCUAAUACCGGAUAGGAGCUCCUGCUGCAUGGUGGGGGUUGGAAAGUUUCGGCGGUUGGGGAUGGACUCGCGGCUUAUCAGCUUGUUGGUGGGGUAGUGGCUUACCAAGGCUUUGACGGGUAGCCGGCCUGAGAGGGUGACCGGCCACAUUGGGACUGAGAUACGGCCCAGACUCCUACGGGAGGCAGCAGUGGGGAAUAUUGCACAAUGGGCGGAAGCCGGAUGCAGCAACGCCGCGUGCGGGAUGACGGCCUUCGGGUUGUAAACCGCCUUCGCCUGUGACGAAGCGUGAGUGACGGUAAUGGGUAAAGAAGCACCGGCUAACUACGUG